AAGAAUUCAAGCUCCGCGGGGGCAGGCCAGCAGUGCUGGGGGACCCGGCGCACCCUCCGCAGCUGCUGGCCCGGGUGCUAAACCCCUCACUGCCCGGGCCGGCGGUGCCGGCGGGCUGCUCUCAGUGCGGGACCUCGGAGCCUGCGCCCACCCGGAACUAGCCGCGUUCAGCCCUGGUUCCCGCCCCCGCCUCUCCCGCCACACCUCUCCACAAGCAGAGGGAGCUGGCUUCAGCCUCAGCCAGCACAGAGAGGGGCCCCCAUAGCGCAGUGGCGGGCUGAAGGGCUCCUUGAGCAUGGCCAGAGUGGACGCCAAGGCUGAGGAGGCGCCGAGAGCCAGUGAGGGCUGCUAGCAUGUUGUCACCUCUCAAUACAUAAAACUACUGGAGGGUGGUUCCAAGAUGGCCAAAUAGGAACAGCUCCAGUCUACAGCUCCCAGCAUGAGUGAUGCAGAAGACGAAUGAUUUCUGCAUUUCCAACUCAGAGAGCUGACUUUAGAGGGAUCAAGAAUAGCUUGCUGGAUGGAAGGAGCUUGGGGCCAGUCAUCAUCUUAAAGGCUCUGUGGCAGCUUGGACUUGAAGUAGGGUGCACCCGGAAUUGACCAAUACAAACAGUGGACUGCACUGGAUUCUUCUUGUGCCCUGUCUCAUAUCCUCUUGUCCCACCUUUUCAUAACAGCCAUUGCCAUGGGAACCAGCUGCAUCCAGGCUAGAGCAAAAGGAGGUACAAAACCAAAUGCUAAGAAGCUGCUGCAUUUACUGAGAUAACCGUCUUCAGCUAAUGUGAAGCACCUACAACUUACAUAGAGGACUGCAGUAAAUACCUUAAAAACACAACCUCAUUCCAACCACAAGAAUCCAAUCAGAGAGGUAA
Molecule: long non-coding RNA, 872 nt
Filed under: Homo sapiens (human)
Lineage: Eukaryota; Metazoa; Chordata; Mammalia; Primates; Hominidae
Description: HSALNT0377015
Source: RNAcentral